UAUAGUAUCAAUUGACUGCCGUAGACAGCAGGUGCGAAAGCGUAAGUAGACCAACGCCUGCCGAGGAAAGUUAGAUUCGAUCGUUAGAAUUAUAACGCCUCUGUGUCUUUGGCACAGAGGCGUUUUUGCUAUAUUG
Dorea sp. 5-2 is the source of this 136-nucleotide non-coding RNA. The record is from Rfam. NCBI's taxonomy places the organism in Bacteria, Bacillati, Bacillota, Clostridia, Lachnospirales, Lachnospiraceae.